AGCCCAUAGAAAGGGCAAGGCCUUAACAAGUCCUUAAAACGCUCUCAUGCGUCAAAGAAAGAUUCCCCAUCUUCUUGCCUAAAAUUACUUAUUUCGUUCCUGACUUGGGU
Lathyrus oleraceus (garden pea) is the source of this 110-nucleotide small nucleolar RNA. The record is from RefSeq and is a predicted model, not a curated record. Lineage: Eukaryota; Viridiplantae; Streptophyta; Magnoliopsida; Fabales; Fabaceae.